CAUUACAGAGAAUCUCUUCUCUUAAACCCUGUGAACCUACCUUUGUUGCCUCGGGGGGCCGCCCGGGAGGCUGCGUUCUGCGCGGCGCCCGGGAGCCACGGCGCCCCGGUGGCCCUUCAAACUCUUGUAUUGUAUGGCCUAUCAGAAACACUAUUUAAUAGUUAAAACUUUCAGCAACGGAUCUCUUGGUUCUGGCAUCGAUGAAGAACGCAGCGAAAUGCGAUAAGUAAUGUGAAUUGCAGAAUUCAGUGAAUCAUCGAAUCUUUGAACGCACAUUGCGCCCCCUGGUAUUCCGGGGGGCACGCCUGUCCGAGCGUCAUUUCGACCCUCCAGCUCUGCUGGGUGUUGGGGACCUACGGAGACGUAGGCCCUGAAAAACAGUGGCGGGCUCGCGCAUACCCGGACGUAGUAAUGCUGUCGUCUAGGGGCUGUCGCGGGUGCUAGCCGUGAAACUGACGCAAGUCACUUUUCAGAAGGUUGACCUCGGAUCAGGCGGGAAUACCCGCUGAACUUAAGCAUAUCAAUAAGCGGAGGAAAAGAAACUAACAAGGAUUCCCCUAGUAACGGCGAGUGAAGCGGGAACAGCCCAAAUUUGAAAGCUGGCCGCAAGGUCCGCAUUGUAAUUUGGAGAGGAUGCUUCUGGUGAGGUCCUGACUGAGUCCCCUGGAACGGGGCGCCGCAGAGGGUGAGAGCCCCGUAGAGUCAGAUGCCGAUCCUGUGUGAAGCUCCCUCGACGAGUCGAGUAGUUUGGGAAUGCUGCUCUAAAUGGGAGGUAAAUUCCUUCUAAGGCUAAAUACCGGCCAGAGACCGAUAGCGCACAAGUAGAGUGAUCGAAAGAUGAAAAGCACUUUGAAAAGAGGGUUAAAUAGCACGUGAAAUUGCUGAAAGGGAAGCGCACGUCGCCAGACUCGGCCUCGGUGGUAACCCGGCGUUCUCGCCGGUGGCUCCUCCGAGGUCGGGCCAGCACCGGUGGUUCGGGGGCAGGAAGCGCAGGA
Molecule: ribosomal RNA, 995 nt
Filed under: Sordariomycetes sp. genotype css050
Lineage: Eukaryota; Fungi; Ascomycota; Sordariomycetes
Description: eukaryotic LSU rRNA
Rfam family: Eukaryotic large subunit ribosomal RNA (bases 479-995)
Source: RNAcentral